UAGAUCAAUUAUAAUUUUUAUUUGUUUGCCUGAUUUCCCUUUGGAUAAUGAAGGCAUAUUUAGUCAUUAUCUCUUUGGAGACAU
Small nucleolar RNA from Aotus nancymaae (Ma's night monkey), 84 nucleotides. Lineage: Eukaryota; Metazoa; Chordata; Mammalia; Primates; Aotidae. The record is from Ensembl.